AUGGGCUGCUCAUCGUCCAGCACGCAGACGCUCGCGCAGGAGAACCGACCGGGCGUCAAAGCGGAGGAGGCGCGCGGAGAAACUCUGCUUUCUCAUAAUGGUAUUGUAGCAGAAGACAGCGAGACCGUCUCGGAUCAGAUGCUGGAUGAGAUGGGUGCCGGACCGGAAGAGACGGUGAAGGACGUCCAGCCUGAGGCCUCAGAAGCAGAGCAGCUAAUGGUCAGCGCUAGUGAUGCUCCUCUGGAGGAGAGAGAUCCAGAAGACGUUCCUGAAACAUCAAGUCAUGAAGCUCCAGCUGAAGAGCAGCGAGAUGCUCAUACUGCAUCAGAACCCAGUGACACUACAGCUGCAGAACCCUCUCUAGCUGUGGAACCAGCAUCAGAUCUCAGCAGCACUCCAGCUGAGCUAACUGCAGCUCCAGAAGCACUGUCAGACGUGAGCUCGGAACCCACACUAGAGCAAGCAAACACAUGUCCUGAAGCGACACCAGUGCAACCAACUCCAGCUUCAGAACCAGUUCCAGAGGAAGUUAGCCCUGUUCCUGAACUCACUGUGUCUGAGCCUGUCCCGAGUGCAGAAUCAGCUUCUGCUGAGGAUCCGACUGUGUCUCCGGAACCCACUGCAGUGGAACCAAGCCCAGCUCUAGAGUCAACUCCAGCUCUAGAACCCACAGCCGAGGAACCAAGUCCGGCUCAAGCGACCGAAGAUCCGAAUCCAGCUCCAGAACCAACGGCUGAGGAACUGAGUUCAGCUCCAGAACCCGCAGCUGAGGAACCGAGUCCAGCUCCAGAACCCACGGCUGAGGAACCGAGUCCAGCUCCAGAACCCACGGCUGAGGAACCGAGUCCAGCUCCAGAACCCACGGCUGAGGAACCGAGUCCAGCUCCAGAACCCACGGCUGAGGAACCGAGUCCAGCUCCAGAACCCACGGCUGAGGAACCGAGUCCAGCUCCAGAACCCACGGCUGAGGAACCGAGUCCAGCUCCAGAACCCACGGCUGAGGAACCGAGUCCAGCUCCAGAACCCACGGCUGAAGAACCGAUUCCAGCUCCAGAACCCACGGCUGAGGAACCGAGUCCAGCUCCAGAACCCUUGGCAGCAGCAGUGGUCUCACAGGCUGCAGAGGAGAAUGCGACCUGCGCAGACGCUUCAGAAGGAGCCGUUGAGGAGAUCACAGCAGAUACAGCUGUGGUCGGUGAAGAUGGAGCUGAUCUGAAAUCCACAGAACCUGCAGAAUGAUGUCAAUGUGUUGUUGUGACGCUGGAAGACGUGCCUUUUAUUUCAGAGGAUUUGGGCUUCACAUACGUUUGUACAUAAAUUAGUGUUUCUAAGUAGCAUCAUCAUCAUUAGCAUUGUUAUUAAAAGCCUCUGAGAGCGCAGGGUCCCGAGGGUAACCAGCUGAGCGUGGGACGAAUGUUUGUGCUUCUGGAUAAAAUCACUGCAUCAUGUCCUCAUCUUCAACUGAGUCAAACACAAAAGCAAUAUUAACUCAUCUGAACAAACACGAGCCAAAACUCAAUAACUGUGAGUCAGCCAAAUUAUGUUUAAUAAUGUGUCUUUAAAUGGGUCAAAAGGGCCUUGUCUCUUUAUGUAUUUAGUGUAUUCUUCUCUGCAGAUGCAAAGCAGCUUGACUCUUUACUUGCAUUAAUCAAUGACACAGAAAGGCACACAUAGUAUAUUAAUCAAUAGUAUAUACUGUUGGGUUAUUUUAGUACAGUUUGUGGUGAUUGAUAGUUACACUUAAACUCCAGAGGACUAAUAAACCUCAUCAUAAUAAACCUGGCUUUAACCCAACGAUUCAAAUCGCUUCAAGUCCUGAAGAUAAGCAGUUGCUCAGUAAAACAUAUCAGUGCGUGAAGACAUGAAAGUUGAGCUCUUUAUAUAAAUAAAUCAAGCUUUUAAUGAACUGUGACAUGAUCUCUGCACAUCUCCUAUAUGUGUCUUUUUACAUUUAUAUGUGCACAGAAUAAAUAGUUAUUGUUACUAAUAAAAUAAGUUUGUAGUGAUUUGUCUUUCAUAAAGAUCAGUGUGUAGAUGUGUGGUAUUCUGGAGAACAUUGCAGCAGAUAUCCGUAAAAUCAGUGAGAGCCACAGAAAUCAGAGUCAACUCCAUCAACUGUAACUGCUUGUGUCUCUCUCUCUCUCUCUCUCACACACACACACACACACACACACUAAAGACAGUGUUCUCCAGUUCAUCUGUCCUGCAUGAGAUUGGAUUCAGGGGAAUCUGGAGGAAACACCCGAAUUACAAUGCUGACAAAUCCUAAACACAGUAAAGAAUUAAAAUACUAGGUAAAUAUAGCCACAGAUGCCUGAGCUAUUACAGACAUUCAGUUUUUAUGUGAAACACUAAACAUUUACUCUUCUGCUCAUUAAACUUUAGAAACAUGCUCAGAUGUAGUGUGAUGACAUGCAGACUCAUGCACAUAGUUUAUGGAUUGUUUAUAAGCUGAUGGUUAAAAUUAUAAUAGCCCUCUUGAUUAUUAAAAAAAAUGAAAACAACAAACAUUGUUAUGAAACACUGAUGCUGGAGGUUCAUUCAUUCAUUACAAUUGCUAUAUAUGUCAGAGGUCGCUCUCCUCUGGAGCAACUAGUUAAGUGUCUUGAUCAAGGACACAUUGGUGUGUGUUUCUCAGUGGAUUCGAACCCGGGUCUCUCACACCAAAGGUAGUAUGUAUCUUAUCCACUGC
Long non-coding RNA from Carassius auratus (goldfish), 2692 nucleotides. The record is from Ensembl. Lineage: Eukaryota; Metazoa; Chordata; Actinopteri; Cypriniformes; Cyprinidae.